Pelobates cultripes (western spadefoot toad) is the source of this 210-nucleotide non-coding RNA. The record is from the annotation of a GenBank genome assembly. NCBI's taxonomy places the organism in Eukaryota, Metazoa, Chordata, Amphibia, Anura, Pelobatidae.
CUACAGUAGAGAGCCGACUUAUAUGGCUCUCUAAAAUGUGAGUGCUCCUAAUCAUUUUCUAUAUCAGUUAUUGGUUUAUGCAUAUUGCCCUAUGAUAGCUGUCUAUUUUACACAUUAUCUUAUCAAGCAUCCAUUGUGUGCGCAAAACCACCUUUUCCUGUAUCCAAUUCUAGAUUUAUUGCUUGCAGCAAAAAUACUACUCUGUUGAUA